RNAcentral lists this ribosomal RNA (460 nucleotides) under uncultured bacterium. Its description in RNAcentral is "partial 16S ribosomal RNA". It matches the Rfam family "Bacterial small subunit ribosomal RNA", at positions 338 to 795 of the family's 1533-position model. The record is from RNAcentral.
CCUACGGGGAGCAGCAGUGAGGAAUAUUGGUCAAUGCGCGCGAGCCUGAACCAGCCACGUAGCGUGAAGGAUGACUGCCCUACGGGUUGUAAACUUCUUUUAUAAAGGAAUAAAGUGAGGCACGUGUGCCUUUUUGUAUGUACUUUAUGAAUAAGGAUAGGCUAACUCCGUGCCAGCAGCCGAGGUAAUACGGAGGAUCCGAGCGUUGUACGGAUUUAUUGGGGUUAAAGGGAGCGUAGAUGGGUUGUUAAGUCAGUUGUGAAAGUUUGCGGCUCAACCGUAAUAUUGCAAUUGAUACUGGCAGUCUUGAGUACAGUUGAGGUAGGCGGAAUUCGUGGUGUAGCGGUGAAAUGCGUAGAUAUCACGAAGAACUCCGAUUGCGAAGGCAGCUUACUAACCGGCAACUGACAUUGAUGCUCGAAAGUGUGGGUAUCAAACAGGAUUAGAUACCCGUGUAGUC